Numida meleagris (helmeted guineafowl) is the source of this 1578-nucleotide long non-coding RNA. Lineage: Eukaryota; Metazoa; Chordata; Aves; Galliformes; Numididae. The record is from Ensembl.
GGCGGGGAGGUCCCCACAUCGGUGCCCCCCCCUGCCCCACACAACGCAGCCCAGGUUGGGGGGCGAGGGGGGGAAGGGAAGCACAGCGCCCCCUGGUGGAGGGGAGGGUGGGGGCGGGAAGCACGGCGCCCCCUGGUGGUGGGGAGGUCCCCGCGUCGGUGCUCCCCACCCCCGCCCCACAAACAACACGGCCUGGGUUAAGGAGGGGUGUGGGGGUGGGAAGCACAGCGCCCCCUGGUGGUGGGGAGGUCCAUGCAUUGGUGCUCCCCCCCCACCCCACACACAAUGCUGCCUGGGUUAAGGGGGGGUUGGGAAGUACAGCGCCCCCUGGUGGAGGGGAGGGUGGGGGCGGGAAGCACAGCGCCCCCUGGUGGCAGGGAGGUCCCCGCGUCGGUGCCCACCCCACACACAACGCGGCCUGGGUUAAGGGGGUGGAUGGGGGCGGGAAGCACAGCGCCCCCUGGCGGCGGGGAGGUCCCCGCGCGGGGUCUGACCUUGAGGAUCUCGUAGACGUAGAAGCGGAUGUCGAAGUCGGACAGGGUCUGGUAGAGCUGCUGCGGAGCAAGGGGGGGGGGUGAGAUUAAUGACUCGGUGCUAAUUAGGGGCUAAUGAGGGCCGUGGUGGGGGUGGGUUGGGGUUGGGGGUCCCGAGGUCUCUGCGGACCUUAAUGAGGCUGUGGGUCUAAUGAGGGUCAUGGAGGGGUGGGUGGGGUUGAGGUUGGGGAUCUUGGAGGUCUCUUCCGACCUUAAUGAGUCUAUGGGUCUAAUGAGGGUCGCGGUGGGGUUGGGUGGGUUGGGGUGGGGCAUCUUGGAGGUCUCUUCCAACCUUAAUGAGCCUGCGGGUCUAAUUAGGGUUGCACUGGGGAUGGGUUGGGGUUGGGGUGGGGAGUCCUGACUUUAAUGACUUUAGUUUUAAUUAGGGUCAUGGUGGGGUGGGUUGGGGUUGGGUUGGGAGAUCUUGGAGGCCUCUUCCAAUCUUAACGAGUCUAUGGGUCUAAUUAGGGCCACAGUGGGGUGGGUUGGGGUUGGACUCAACGACCUUGGAGCUUUCUUCCAACCUUAAUGAGUCUGUGGGUCUAAUUAGGGUCAUGGUGGGGAUGGGUUGGGGUUGGCGUGGGGGGUUCUGAGCUCUCCUUUGGUCUUAAUGAGUCUGUGGUUUUAAUUAGGGUCACAGUGGGGAGGGUUGGGGUUGGGUUGGGUUGGGGGAUCUUGGAGGUCUCUCCCAGUCUUAAUGAGUCUACGGGUCUAAUUAGGGUCAUGGUGGGGUGGGGGAUCUUGGAGAUCUCUUCCAUCCUUAAUGAGUCUAUGUUUUUAAUUAGGGUCAUGGUGGAGUGGAUUGGGUUGGGUUUGGGGGUCUUGGAGGUCUCUCCCAAUCUUAAUGAGUCUAUGGGUCUAAUUACAGUCAUGGAGGGGUGGGUUGGGGCUGGGGUGGAGGAUCUUGGAGGUAUCUUCCAUCCUUAAUGAGUUUGUGGUUUUAAUUAGGGUCAUGGUGGGUUGGGUUGGGGUGGGUUGGGAGAUCUUGGAGGUCUCGCCCUACCUUAAUGACUCUAUGUGACUAAUUAGGGUCGUGGAGGGGAUG